GGUGAGUAAUGUAUCGGAACGUGCCUAGUAGCGGGGGAUAACUACGCGAAAGCGUAACUAAUACCGCAUACGCCCUACGGGGGAAAGCAGGGGAUCGCAAGACCUUGCACUAUUAGAGCGGCCGAUAUCGGAUUAGCUAGUUGGUGGGGUAACGGCUCACCAAGGCGACGAUCCCUAUCUGGUUUGAGAGGACGACCAGCCCCACUGGGACUGAGACACGGGCCAAACUCCUACGGGAGGGAGAAGUGGGGAAUUUUGGACAAUGGGGGAAACCCUGAUCCAGCCAUCCCGCGUGUGCGAUGAAGGCCUUCGGGUUGUAAAGCACUUUUGGCAGGAAAGAAACGUCAUGGGCUAAUACCCCGUGAAACUGACAGUACCUGCAGAAUAAGCACCGGCUAACUAC
Molecule: ribosomal RNA, 403 nt
Filed under: uncultured bacterium
Lineage: Bacteria
Description: bacterial SSU rRNA
Rfam family: Bacterial small subunit ribosomal RNA
Source: RNAcentral